GAUGAAGAACGUAGCGAAAUGCGAUAAGUAAUGUGAAUUGCAGAAUUCAGUGAAUCAUCGAAUCUUUGAACGCAUCUUGCGCUCCUUGGUAUUCUGAGGAGCAUGCCUGUUUGAGUGUCAUUAAAUUCUCAACUACACUGACUUUGAAUUGGUGUGGCUUGGAUUUGGGGGGAAAAUUGUUGUGGGCUUUUUGUAUAGUCUGCUCCCCUGAAAUUGAUUAGCGGUACCUUUGUGGAACUGUCUACAGGUGUGAUAAUUAUCUACAUCUUAGACAUCUGCUGGAAUGCUGCUUUCUAAACCUUACUUGUAUUGACAAUCUUGACCUCAAAUCAGGUAGGACUACCCGCUGAACUUAAGCAUAUCAAAGCGGAGGA
RNAcentral lists this unclassified non-coding RNA (374 nucleotides) under soil metagenome. RNAcentral's name for it is "partial contains 5.8S ribosomal RNA, internal transcribed spacer 2, and large subunit ribosomal RNA". The stretch from base 1 to 120 matches the Rfam family "5.8S ribosomal RNA", at positions 35 to 154 of the family's 154-position model. The record is from RNAcentral.